RNAcentral lists this ribosomal RNA (492 nucleotides) under uncultured bacterium. Its description in RNAcentral is "partial 16S ribosomal RNA". It matches the Rfam family "Bacterial small subunit ribosomal RNA", at positions 29 to 507 of the family's 1533-position model. The record is from RNAcentral.
AGUGAACGCUGGCGGUAGGCCUAACACAUGCAAGUCGAACGGCAGCACAGUAAGAGCUUGCUCUUACGGGUGGCGAGUGGUGGACGGGUGAGGAAUACAUCGGAAUCUACUUUUUCGUGGGGGAUAACGUAGGGAAACUUACGCUAAUACCGCAUACGACCUACGGGUGAAAGCAGGGGAUCUUCGGACCUUGCGCGAUUGAAUGAGCCGAUGUCGGAUUAGCUAGUUGGCGGGGUAAAGGCCCACCAAGGCGACGAUCCGUAGCUGGUCUGAGAGGAUGAUCAGCCACACUGGAACUGAGACACGGUCCAGACUCCUACGGGAGGCAGCAGUGGGGAAUAUUGGACAAUGGGCGCAAGCCUGAUCCAGCCAUGCCGCGUGGGUGAAGAAGGCCUUCGGGUUGUAAAGCCCUUUUGUUGGGAAAGAAAAGCAGCAGGUUAAUACCCCGCUGUUCUGACGGUACCCAAAGAAUAAGCACCGGCUAACUUCGUG